CAAGUAAUUAAGUGCAUGUGGUGGAUGCCUUGGCAGUCAGAGGCGAUGAAAGACGUGAUAGCCUGCGAAAAGCUCCGGGGAGGCGGCAAAUAUCCUUUGAUCCGGAGAUGUCUGAAUGGGGGAACCCACCUACUUUAAGGUAGGUAUUGCAACAUGAAUACAUAGUGUUGCAAGGCGAACGAGGGGAAGUGAAACAUCUCAGUACCCUUAGGAAAAGAAAUCAAUUGAGAUUCCCUCAGUAGCGGCGAGCGAACGGGGAUCAGCCCAUUAAGUUAUGUGUGUUUUAGUGGAACGCUCUGGGAAGUGCGAACGUAGAGGGUGAUAUUCCCGUACACGAAAGGGCACACAUAAUGAUGACGAGUAGGGCGAGGCACGUGAAACCUUGUCUGAAUAUGGGGGGACCAUCCUCCAAGGCUAAAUACUCCUGACUGACCGAUAGUGAACCAGUACCGUGAGGGAAAGGCGAAAAGAACCCCUGUGAGGGGAGUGAAAUAGAUCCUGAAACCGCAUGCAUACAAGCAGUGGGAGCACCUUCGUGGUGUGACUGCGUACCUUUUGUAUAAUGGGUCAGCGACUUAUAUUCAGUAGCGAGGUUAACCGUAUAGGGGAGCCGUAGAGAAAUCGAGUCUUAAUAGGGCGUUUAGUUGCUGGGUAUAGACCCGAAACCAGGCGAUCUAUCCAUGAGCAGGUUGAAGGUUGGGUAACACUAACUGGAGGACCGAACCCACUGUCGUUGAAAAGCCAGGGGAUGACUUGUGGAUAGGGGUGAAAGGCUAAUCAAGCCUGGUGAUAGCUGGUUCUCCCCGAAAGCUAUUUAGGUAGCGCCUCGGACGAAUACCAUAGGGGGUAGAGCACUGUUUCGGCUAGGGGGUCAUCCCGACUUACCAAACCGAUGCAAACUCCGAAUACCUAUGAGUACUAUCCGGGAGACAGACUGCGGGUGCUAACGUCCGUAGUCAAGAGGAAAACAAUCCAGACCGCCAGCUAAGGCCCCAAAAUCAUAGUUAAGUGGGAAACGAUGUGGGAAGGCAUAGACAGCUAGGAGGUUGGCUUAGAAGCAGCCACCCUUUAAAGAAAGCGUAAUAGCUCACUAGUCGAGUCGGCCUGCGCGGAAGAUGUAACGGGGCUAAAACUAUGUGCCGAAGCUGCGGAUGUAUACUUUGUAUACGUGGUAGGGGAGCGUUCUGUAAGCCGAUGAAGGUGUGUUGAGAAGCAUGCUGGAGGUAUCAGAAGUGCGAAUGCUGACGUGAGUAACGACAAAACGGGUGAAAAACCCGUUCGCCGAAAGACCAAGGGUUCCAGUCCAACGUUAAUCGGGGCUGGGUGAGUCGACCCCUAAGGCGAGGCCGAAAGGCGUAGUCGAUGGGAAAAUGGUUAAUAUUCCAUUACUUCUGUGUAAUGCGAUGAGAGGACGGAGAAGGCUAAAUCAGCCUGGCGUUGGUUGUCCAGGUGAAAGGAUGUAGGCAUGUAUCUUAGGCAAAUCCGGGGUACUCUAUGCUGAGAUCUGAUAGCAAGCUGUACUUGUACAGCGAAGUGGUUGAUGCCAUGCUUCCAGGAAAAGUCUCUAAGCUUCAGUUACACAGGAAUCGUACCCGAAACCGACACAGGUGGUCAGGUCGAGUAGACCAAGGCGCUUGAGAGAACUCUGCUGAAGGAACUAGGCAAAAUGGUACCGUAACUUCGGGAGAAGGUACGCUGUUGUUGGUGAUGGAACUCGCUUCCUGAGCUGACGACAGCCGCAGAAACCAGGCCGCUGCAACUGUUUAUUAAAAACAUAGCACUCUGCAAACACGAAAGUGGACGUAUAGGGUGUGAUGCCUGCCCGGUGCUGGAAGGUUAAUUGAUGGGGUUAGCGUAAGCGAAGCUCUUGAUCGAAGCCCCAGUAAACGGCGGCCGUAACUAUAACGGUCCUAAGGUAGCGAAAUUCCUUGUCGGGUAAGUUCCGACCUGCACGAAUGGCAUAAUGAUGGCGGCGCUGUCUCCAGCAGAGGCUCAGUGAAAUCGAAAUCGCUGUGAAGAUGCAGUGUACCCGCGGCUAGACGGAAAGACCCCGUGAACCUUUACUGCAGCUUGACACUGAACUUUGACCUUACUUGUGUAGGAUAGGUGGGAGGCUUUGAAGCUGGAACGCUAGUUCCAGUGGAGCCGUCCUUGAAAUACCACCCUGGUAAUGUUGAGGUUCUAACUCUGUCCCGUGAUCCGGGACGAGGACCGUGUCUGGUGGGUAGUUUGACUGGGGCGGUCUCCUCCUAAAGAGUAACGGAGGAGUACGAAGGUGCGCUCAGCGUGGUCGGAAAUCACGCGUAGAGUAUAAAGGCAAAAGCGCGCUUAACUGCGAGACCCACAAGUCGAGCAGGUACGAAAGUAGGUCUUAGUGAUCCGGUGGUUCUGUAUGGAAGGGCCAUCGCUCAACGGAUAAAAGGUACUCUGGGGAUAACAGGCUGAUACCGCCCAAGAGUUCAUAUCGACGGCGGUGUUUGGCACCUCGAUGUCGGCUCAUCUCAUCCUGGGGCUGAAGCAGGUCCCAAGGGUAUGGCUGUUCGCCAUUUAAAGAGGUACGCGAGCUGGGUUUAGAACGUCGUGAGACAGUUCGGUCCCUAUCUACCGUGGGCGCUGGAAAUUUGAGAGGAUCUGCUCCUAGUACGAGAGGACCAGAGUGGACGAACCUCUGGUGUACCGGUUGUGACGCCAGUCGCAUCGCCGGGUAGCUAUGUUCGGAAGGGAUAACCGCUGAAAGCAUCUAAGCGGGAAGCCUACCUCAAGAUAAGAUUUCCCUAGGACUUUAUGUCCUCUAAAGAGCCGUUCGAGACUAGGACGUUGAUAGGUUGGAUGUGGAAGCAUAGUGAUAUGUGAAGCUGACCAAUA
Molecule: ribosomal RNA, 2865 nt
Filed under: Acinetobacter baumannii 44298_4
Lineage: Bacteria; Pseudomonadati; Pseudomonadota; Gammaproteobacteria; Moraxellales; Moraxellaceae
Description: bacterial LSU rRNA
Rfam family: Bacterial large subunit ribosomal RNA
Source: RNAcentral